Gymnothorax javanicus (giant moray) is the source of this 70-nucleotide non-coding RNA. Lineage: Eukaryota; Metazoa; Chordata; Actinopteri; Anguilliformes; Muraenidae. The record is from the annotation of a GenBank genome assembly.
UUGUUGGUGGUAUAGUGGUAAGUAUAGUUGUCUUCCAAGCAGUUGACCCGGUUCAAUUCCCGUCAACGAA